This 148-nucleotide unclassified non-coding RNA is filed under the name soil metagenome. RNAcentral describes it as "partial internal transcribed spacer 1". The record is from RNAcentral.
CCGAGUUUACAACUCCCAAACCCCUGUGAACAUACCUUAUCGUUGCCUCGGCGGAUCAGCCCGCGCCCCGUAAAAAGGGACGGCCCGCCGAGGAACCCUAAACUCUGUUUUUAGUGGAACUUCUGAGUAUAAACAAACAAAUAAAUCA